GUCUGUCACCACCUGAGAUGUGCUUUUCACCUUCCACCAUGAUUGUGGGGCCUCCCCAGUCACAUUGAAAUGCAUUUAUGAAGUAGGCACCUGGAAUUGAAUAGACUCCUAAAGGAGAGACAGAAGUUUGAAAGAGCAAGAAGAGUGGAUGUGGAUCCAGACAGAAAAAGAGAACAGCAAAUAUUUGAAAGAGCUUAAGACAUACUCCUCAAGGUUGAAGAACUCACUUUGGCAUUUCUUGUAAGAUGGUUCUGGUGGUACCACAGAUAGAAACCUUGAGAAGCUUACUUUGGUGAGAAAUUUUGCCUUUCUCUGCAGGCUUCUACCAGUUCGAUUCCAUCUGUGGGUCUUAGGUUUCAGUUACCUGCAGUCAAAUGUGGUCCAAUACACAGACUGGAAUAAGAGACAUUGGAGACUCCAAAAGAAUAUUUUCUGGUAGACUGAUACAUUUCUUCUAAAAAAUUUG
RNAcentral lists this long non-coding RNA (466 nucleotides) under Pan troglodytes (chimpanzee). Its description in RNAcentral is "lincRNA". The record is from RNAcentral. Lineage: Eukaryota; Metazoa; Chordata; Mammalia; Primates; Hominidae.